UACAGAGGGUGCGAGCGUUAACCGGAAUUACUGGGCGUAAAGCGUGCGCAGGCGGCGCGUUAAGACAGGUGUGAAAGCCCCGAGCUUAACUUGGGAAUUGCGCUUGUGACUGGCGUGCUGGAGUGUGGCAGAGGGAGGUGGAAUUCCACGUGUAGCAGUGAAAUGCGUAGAGAUGUGGAGGAACACCGAUGGCGAAGGCAGCCUCCUGGGCCAGCACUGACGCUCAUGCACGAAAGCGUGGGGAGCAAACAGG
RNAcentral lists this ribosomal RNA (253 nucleotides) under uncultured bacterium. Its description in RNAcentral is "partial 16S ribosomal RNA". It matches the Rfam family "Bacterial small subunit ribosomal RNA", at positions 524 to 776 of the family's 1533-position model. The record is from RNAcentral.